This is a long non-coding RNA of Varanus komodoensis (Komodo dragon), 2302 nucleotides long. RefSeq lists it as uncharacterized. The record is from RefSeq and is a predicted model, not a curated record. The transcript is spliced from 5 exons. NCBI's taxonomy places the organism in Eukaryota, Metazoa, Chordata, Lepidosauria, Squamata, Varanidae.
GGCCGGCACCGGCUUCGGCGUGCGGGGCGGCGGAUGGCGCCGCGGCGGGCCAGGCUCCCCCGGGGCUUUAUGGCCGCGGAAGGCGAGCACGUGGCGGGUGCGCGCAUUGGGAGGCGCGCUCCUGCGGUGCCCGGCGGCCGCCGCUCGCCGUGCUGGCAGCGCGGCGCGGGCACGUGGGGGCUUGCGUCGGGUUGGAUCACGCGGAAGGCUGUGCCUUAGCCUGAGAGUCCCCCAGUUGCUUGGGGGUGAUCUUGGUCCCGGUGCAAAGUAAUUGCAGGCGAUGGUGAAUCGAGGGUGAAUUUAUGCAUUUAAAAUAAAUCAGUUGAGGUAAUUUGGAUGCGAAAUUCAUUGGCGGAAGUUGCCUCCCGUCCUGACUGAAACUUCCUAAAGGUUCAUGGUUUUCUGUGACUGAGGCAUGGCAAGAAGGGAAGUAGAACAUGCAUUGGAGACUGGAACAACUGAACAGGAAAUAUCUUCUCUCGCUGAAUCUGCAGCUGCUGGGAGCAUGAAAGGAGAGCAGAGCCAGCUCCCAUGUAGCCGAGCGGAGAAGCUGGAGAUGCUCAGGACUGGGCGAAGCAACAGCACAGCACAAUGAUGCGUCGGUGUAGAGUGAGGAGCCGCUUUCCACCACUGAGGAACCGCCUGGCCCUUAAGCUAGAGGGCCUGGAAUUGGCUGAGCAGCUCAGCCCCAGGUGAACUGCGGAGGUCUUCACGCAUGGGAACCAACAUACUGCCUGUCUGAGCCAAGCCAUGUUAUCCUAGUCCAUCCAGAGGGUCCUCUUUGCAUCACAGUCCUCCUAGGCCUGCUUUCUGCCUGGGAUAUGAAAAUGGAAGAUGAACAAGUCAAGGAAACUGAUAUCAUGGGCACAAAACUUUGGAUAUAAUGGUUUGGAAGACCACCUCUUUUUGUGGGAAAGCCACAGUAUGUCAAGCACUCCACAAAAGCAGAAGUGUUUCAACGACUCACUCCUAAAUAUGUAACACAGACAAGGAACUGGCUUGGUGAAACGGGGAGACAAAAGAGGAACACACUGAGCAGCUUUUACUGGAUUGAACAUCCCGAUUUGGACUUGUAUAUUAUUGUCCUGGUAGGUCUCGGAAAGAUGCGUGCAAGUUGGAAAGGGUUCAGAGGAGGGAGCCUGGAAGGCCCCGUGAGAAGAAAUGGCUAUUUUAGGUUGCAUUAGCAGAACUAUCACUUUCGAACACCGUGAGGUGCUAGUUCCCCUUUACUCAGCGUUGGUUAAGCCUCGCUUGGAGUCCUGCGUCCAGUUCUGGGCACCACAGUUUGAAAGGAUGCGGACAAGCUGGAAAGGGCUCAGAGGAAGGCAAUACAGAUGAUCCGGGGACGGGAAGCAAAGCCCCUUGAGGAGGGACUGAGAGAACUGAGCCAGUUCAGCCUUGGGAAGGGAGGACUGAGGGGAGGUGCGAUGGCAGGCUGCAAGCGCCUGGAGAGAGAGGACGGGAUCUCUUCUCCGCCAUCCCAGAGUGCAGGACGUGGAAUAGCGGGCUCAGUUCACAGGAAGCCAGGUUCUGGCUGAACAUCAGGGAGAACUUCCUGAUUGUCGGAGUAGUACGGCAAUGGAGCCCAUGGGCUCUCCCACCACGAAGGCAUUCAAGAUCCACCUGGGCAGCCAUCAGUUGCGGGUGCUUUAACCUGGAGUCCUGCCUUGAACAGGAGGGUGGACCCGAUGACCUUCUUGAUCCCUUUCAACUCUGCUAUGAUUCAUUGAGUGAAGCUGACUUUUUUUUUAAAAAAGUAACCUAUUUGAGACAUUUAAGAUUGCUGAUAUUUAAAAAGCUGUCAAUAUUUCUUAAAAAAAAAAAGAAAACUUAACCUUCAUCUUCCACUAUGUGUUGAAUUAAAGAACGCUGAUUAGAGGAGGUAUAGCUGUACCAGAGCAUCCAUCUGAAGGCGGAACCAGCUUUUCCCAAAUGCAGAUGUCUGUGCCAGUCCAGAGCAGGCACGGAAGUAACCCAAGAUGCCUUCGGUAUUUGCCCAGUGCGUUCUGGGCCGCUGCUCUUUGCCAAGAAAAGAAGGGCCUUUUCGGCUGUGGCGCCCCAACUGUGGAACAUGCUCCCCAGGGAGGGUCGCCUGGCACCCUCGCUUUGUUCUUUUCAGCAUCAGGCAAACCCCUUUUUCUCAACAUUUUAAUAUUUAAUUGAUUCUAUCUUUGAUUUUAUCGCUAAUGGUAGGAUGCAGUGUGUUUGUUGGUAUGUUGUUUUUUUGUAAGCCGUCCAGAUAAAUAAGCAAAUGAGAGGUCUGCGGGAGAGGCCCUUCUCCAGGAACGCUCCGUGAAAGAAG